This is a long non-coding RNA of Chiroxiphia lanceolata (lance-tailed manakin), 321 nucleotides long. RefSeq lists it as uncharacterized. The record is from RefSeq and is a predicted model, not a curated record. Lineage: Eukaryota; Metazoa; Chordata; Aves; Passeriformes; Pipridae. The transcript is spliced from 3 exons.
AGUCAGAACGGUCCUGGUUUGGAACCAGCACCCUCAACUCCUACAGAAUCAUUUUGAAAACAGAAAAUCUGAAAUACAGAGGGGUGAGUUAAACAUGGUAUCUUCCUAACUUCUGUGAGUCCACACUGCCAGAGGAAGGUCAGUAAUAAGUCUACCUACAAGCCCAAACAGCCCUGCUGCAUUCAACAGCAAGGAACACAAGUCAUUCCACUGCUUGAUGCUGCUUACAAGAUGGUAGCAUAAAGCUUGAACACAAGCCACCCAGACUUCUGAACAUGACCAGUAGCAACAGCUCCAAAAGCAGAUCACUUAUACUGGAAC